Molecule: ribosomal RNA, 525 nt
Filed under: uncultured bacterium
Lineage: Bacteria
Description: bacterial SSU rRNA
Rfam family: Bacterial small subunit ribosomal RNA
Source: RNAcentral
AGGGUUUGAUUAUGGCUCAGGAUGAACGCUAGCGGCAGGCUUAACACAUGCAAGUCGAGGGGUAACAGGGAUUGCUUGCAAUCCGCUGACGACCGGCGCACGGGUGCGUAACGCGUAUGCAACCUACCCUUUACAAGGGGAUAGCCCAGAGAAAUUUGGAAUAAUACCCUAUACGAUCAUUAAUUGGCAUCAAUUAAUGAAGAAAACUCCGGUGGUAAAAGAUGGGCAUGCGUCCUAUUAGUUAGUUGGUAAGGUAACGGCUUACCAAGACUUCGAUAGGUAGGGGUCCUGAGAGGGAGAUCCCCCACACUGGUACUGAGACACGGACCAGACUCCUACGGGAGGCAGCAGUGAGGAAUAUUGGACAAUGGAGGCAACUCUGAUCCAGCCAUGCCGCGUGCAGGAAGACGGCCCUACGGGUUGUAAACUGCUUUUAUACAGGAAGAACUAUAUCUACGUGUAGAUAUUUGACGGUACUGUACGAAUAAGGAUCGGCUAACUCCGUGCCAGCAGCCGCGGUAAUAC